RNAcentral lists this ribosomal RNA (1478 nucleotides) under metagenome. Its description in RNAcentral is "bacterial SSU rRNA". It matches the Rfam family "Bacterial small subunit ribosomal RNA". The record is from RNAcentral.
AGAGUUUGAUCCUGGCUCAGGAUUAACGCUAGCGGCAGGCCUAAUACAUGCAAGUCGAGGGAGAAGUCAAAGCUUGCUUUGAUGGAAACCGGCGCACGGGUACGUAACACGUAUGCAACCUACCUUUAACUGGGGAAUAGCCUUCCGAAAGGAAGAUUAAUACCGCAUAAUAUUACGAAGGGGCAUCUCUUUGUAAUAAAACCUCCGGGGGUUAAAGAUGGGCAUGCGUCCGAUUAGUUCGUUGGUGAGGUAACGGCUCACCAAGACUACGAUCGGUAGGGGGUCUGAGAGGAUGAUCCCCCACACUGGUACUGAGACACGGACCAGACUCCUACGGGAGGCAGCAGUAAGGAAUAUUGGACAAUGGGCGCAAGCCUGAUCCAGCCAUGCCGCGUGCAGGAUGACGGCCCUAUGGGUUGUAAACUGCUUUUAUAUAGGAAGAAACCCCCCGACGUGUCGGGGGUUGACGGUACUAUAAGAAUAAGGGUCGGCUAACUCCGUGCCAGCAGCCGCGGUAAUACGGAGGACCCAAGCGUUAUCCGGAUUUAUUGGGUUUAAAGGGUGCGUAGGCGGAUUUAUAAGUCAGUGGUGAAAUCCUACAGCUUAACUGUAGAACUGCCAUUGAUACUGUAGAUCUUGAGUACGGUUGAGGUGGGCGGAACGUGUCAUGUAGCGGUGAAAUGCUUAGAUAUGACACAGAACACCAAUUGCGAAGGCAGCUCGCUAAACCGUAACUGACGCUGAGGCACGAAAGCGUGGGGAGCGAACAGGAUUAGAUACCCUGGUAGUCCACGCCCUAAACGAUGAUUACUCGAUGUUGGCAAUACACCGUCAGCGUCCAAGCGAAAGCGUUAAGUAAUCCACCUGGGAAGUACGAUCGCAAGAUUGAAACUCAAAGGAAUUGACGGGGGCCCCACAAGCGGAGGAGCAUGUGGUUUAAUUCGAUGAUACGCGAGGAACCUUACCUGGGCUUGAAAGUUAGUGACCGUUCCUGAAAGGGAACCUUCAGCAAUGACACGAAACUAGGUGCUGCAUGGCUGUCGUCAGCUCGUGCCGUGAGGUGUUGGGCUAAGUCCCGUAACGAGCGCAACCCCUAUCAUUAGUUGCCAUCAGGUUAAGCUGGGGACUCUAAUGAGACUGCCCGCGCAAGCGGUGAGGAAGGUGGGGAUGACGUCAAGUCAUCACGGCCCUUACGUCCAGGGCUACACACGUGCUACAAUGGCAGAUACAAUGGGUAGCUACAUGGCAACAUGAUGCUAAUCUCAAAAGUCUGUCUCAGUUCGGAUUGAGGUCUGCAACUCGACCUCAUGAAGCCGGAUUCGCUAGUAAUCGGAAAUCAGCAAUGUUCCGGUGAAUACGUUCCCGGGCCUUGUACACGCCGCCCGUCAAGCCAUGGAAGUCGGGGGUACCUGAAGUCGAUAACCGCAAGGAGUCGCCUAGGGUAAAACUGAUGACUGGGGCUAAGUCGUAACAAGGUA